GACGAACGCUGGCGGCGUGCUUAACACAUGCAAGUCGAACGGAAAGGCCCUGCUUUUGUGGGGUGCUCGAGUGGCGAACGGGUGAGUAACACGUGAGUAACCUGCCCUUGACUUUGGGAUAACUUCAGGAAACUGGGGCUAAUACCGGAUAGGAGCUCCUGCUGCAUGGUGGGGGUUGGAAAGUUUCGGCGGUUGGGGAUGGACUCGCGGCUUAUCAGCUUGUUGGUGGGGUAGUGGCUUACCAAGGCUUUGACGGGUAGCCGGCCUGAGAGGGUGACCGGCCACAUUGGGACUGAGAUACGGCCCAGACUCCUACGGGAGGCAGCAGUGGGGAAUAUUGCACAAUGGGCGGAAGCCUGAUGCAGCAACGCCGCGUGCGGGAUGACGGCCUUCGGGUUGUAAACCGCUUUCGCCUGUGACGAAGCGUGAGUGACGGUAAUGGGUAAAGAAGCACCGGCUAACUACGUGCCAGCAGCCGCGGUGAUACGUAGGGUGCGAGCGUUGUCCGGAUUUAUUGGGCGUAAAGGGCUCGUAGGUGGUUGAUCGCGUCGGAAGUGUAAUCUUGGGGCUUAACCCUGAGCGUGCUUUCGAUACGGGUUGACUUGAGGAAGGUAGGGGAGAGUGGAAUUCCUGGUGGAGCGGUGGAAUGCGCAGAUAUCAGGAGGAACACCAGUGGCGAAGGCGGUUCUCUGGGCCUUUCCUGACGCUGAGGAGCGAAAGCGUGGGGAGCGAACAGGCUUAGAUACCCUGGUAGUCCACGCUGUAAACGGUGGGUACUAGGUGUGGGGUCCAUUCCACGGGUUCCGUGCCGUAGCUAACGCUUUGAGUACCCCGCCUGGGGAGUACGGCCGCAAGGCUAAAACUCAAAGGAAUUGACGGGGCCCCGCACAAGCGGCGGAGCAUGCGGAUUAAUUCGAUGCAACGCGUAGAACCUUACCUGGGUUUGACAUGGAUCGGGAGUGCUCAGAGAUGGGUGUGCCUCUUUUGGGGUCGGUUCACAGGUGGUGCAUGCCUGUCGUCAGCUCGUGUCGUGAGAUGUUGGGUUAAGUCCCGCAACGAGCGCAACCCUUGUUCACUGUUGCCAGCACGUUAUGGUGGGGACUCAGUGGAGACCGCCGGGGUCAACUCGGAGGAAGGUGGGGAUGACGUCAAGUCAUCAUGCCCCUUAUGUCCAGGGCUUCACGCAUGCUACAAUGGCUGGUACAGAGAGUGGCGAGCCUGUGAGGGUGAGCGAAUCUCGGAAAGCCGGUCUCAGUUCGGAUUGGGGUCUGCAACUCGACCUCAUGAAGUCGGAGUCGCUAGUAAUCGCAGAUCAGCAACGCUGCGGUGAAUACGUUCCCGGGGCU
Molecule: ribosomal RNA, 1346 nt
Filed under: uncultured bacterium
Lineage: Bacteria
Description: partial 16S ribosomal RNA
Rfam family: Bacterial small subunit ribosomal RNA
Source: RNAcentral